This 807-nucleotide ribosomal RNA is filed under the name Triticum aestivum (bread wheat). RNAcentral's name for it is "partial small subunit ribosomal RNA". The record is from RNAcentral. Lineage: Eukaryota; Viridiplantae; Streptophyta; Magnoliopsida; Poales; Poaceae.
AUGGCUAUGGAGUUAUUGGAGGUCAGCGAUGCAGCAAUGGCCAAGUAUUUCACUAUGAUGUUAGAUGGAACAGCUCGUACUUGGUUGAAGGGAUUGCCACCCAAUUCCAUCGGCUCAUGGGCAAAGUUGAAGGCCCAGUUCAUCCAGAACUUUAAAGACACGUGUAAGCAGCCUAUGUCGAUUGUGAACCUGACCAAUUGCAAGCAAGAGGAUGGUGAAUCCACAACCCAUUGGGUGCGCCGGGUCAAGGAGAUAAUACAUUCAUCUGAUAAGAUGGAUGCCGGCUCAGCGGUCUUGAUGUUGGAGAAAAAUUGCCAUUUUGAACCUCUGAAGCAGAAGCUGGGGCGGCUCAAGCGUGACUAUAAUGACAUGGGAACAUUGAUGGCGGCUCUCGUCAAGUAUGCUGAUUCUGAUACUACCAAGGACCUGGUGUCUGACGAAGAAAAGGCAACGAAGGGAAAGAAGAACGGCAAUGGCAAGGGUCACCAGCAUAACCCGGCGAAUCAAGGAGGUAAUAAAUGUAAGGCUUAUGAGUUUGUUGCUAACACCAAUGCACAGAGCGAAAAUCAACAGCGCAAGGGCAGACAGCCCCCUCGGUUGGGCGGGUCAGGUCCCACCCUUGAGCAAUUAUUGAAUGAGCCUUGUCCAAAACACGACACCCGGGAGAAGCCAGCCACCCACCUGUGGAAAGAUUGUACGAUCAUGAAGGCGUAUAAAAAUUCAAACACGUUUGAUGGAGGUCACGGCCCAGUUGGCGGCUUAGGUGGAGGCGGUUUCCAAGGCCCGGGUGAAGGAAAUAUGCCCUAG